Molecule: ribosomal RNA, 1585 nt
Filed under: Salmonella enterica subsp. enterica serovar Kentucky
Lineage: Bacteria; Pseudomonadati; Pseudomonadota; Gammaproteobacteria; Enterobacterales; Enterobacteriaceae
Description: partial 23S ribosomal RNA
Rfam family: Bacterial large subunit ribosomal RNA
Source: RNAcentral
GAGCGUUCUGUAAGCCUGUGAAGGUGGCCUGUGAGGGUUGCUGGAGGUAUCAGAAGUGCGAAUGCUGACAUAAGUAACGAUAAAGCGGGUGAAAAGCCCGCUCGCCGGAAGACCAAGGGUUCCUGUCCAACGUUAAUCGGGGCAGGGUGAGUCGACCCCUAAGGCGAGGCCGAAAGGCGUAGUCGAUGGGAAACGGGUUAAUAUUCCCGUACUUGGUGUUACUGCGAAGGGGGGACGGAGAAGGCUAUGUUGGCCGGGCGACGGUUGUCCCGGUUUAAGCGUGUAGGCUGGUUUUCCAGGCAAAUCCGGAAAAUCAAGGCUGAGGCGUGACGACGAGGCACUACGGUGCUGAAGCAACAAAUGCCCUGCUUCCAGGAAAAGCCUCUAAGCAUCAGGUAACAUCAAAUCGUACCCCAAACCGACACAGGUGGUCAGGUAGAGAAUACCAAGGCGCUUGAGAGAACUCGGGUGAAGGAACUAGGCAAAAUGGUGCCGUAACUUCGGGAGAAGGCACGCUGACACGUAGGUGAAGUGAUUUACUCAUGGAGCUGAAGUCAGUCGAAGAUACCAGCUGGCUGCAACUGUUUAUUAAAAACACAGCACUGUGCAAACACGAAAGUGGACGUAUACGGUGUGACGCCUGCCCGGUGCCGGAAGGUUAAUUGAUGGGGUCAGCGCAAGCGAAGCUCCUGAUCGAAGCCCCGGUAAACGGCGGCCGUAACUAUAACGGUCCUAAGGUAGCGAAAUUCCUUGUCGGGUAAGUUCCGACCUGCACGAAUGGCGUAAUGAUGGCCAGGCUGUCUCCACCCGAGACUCAGUGAAAUUGAACUCGCUGUGAAGAUGCAGUGUACCCGCGGCAAGACGGAAAGACCCCGUGAACCUUUACUAUAGCUUGACACUGAACAUUGAGCCUUGAUGUGUAGGAUAGGUGGGAGGCUUUGAAGUGUGGACGCCAGUCUGCAUGGAGCCGACCUUGAAAUACCACCCUUUAAUGUUUGAUGUUCUAACGUGGACCCGUAAUCCGGGUUGCGGACAGUGUCUGGUGGGUAGUUUGACUGGGGCGGUCUCCUCCUAAAGAGUAACGGAGGAGCACGAAGGUUGGCUAAUCCUGGUCGGACAUCAGGAGGUUAGUGCAAUGGCAUAAGCCAGCUUGACUGCGAGCGUGACGGCGCGAGCAGGUGCGAAAGCAGGUCAUAGUGAUCCGGUGGUUCUGAAUGGAAGGGCCAUCGCUCAACGGAUAAAAGGUACUCCGGGGAUAACAGGCUGAUACCGCCCAAGAGUUCAUAUCGACGGCGGUGUUUGGCACCUCGAUGUCGGCUCAUCACAUCCUGGGGCUGAAGUAGGUCCCAAGGGUAUGGCUGUUCGCCAUUUAAAGUGGUACGCGAGCUGGGUUUAGAACGUCGUGAGACAGUUCGGUCCCUAUCUGCCGUGGGCGCUGGAGAACUGAGGGGGGCUGCUCCUAGUACGAGAGGACCGGAGUGGACGCAUCACUGGUGUUCGGGUUGUCAUGCCAAUGGCACUGCCCGGUAGCUAAAUGCGGAAGAGAUAAGUGCUGAAAGCAUCUAAGCACGAAACUUGCCCCGAG